UGGAAGGGAGUUUGAAUCAAAUAAACAUCUAAUUUACAAUUAGAAGAUCCGAUCGAGUCGGCUUUCCAU
Molecule: transfer RNA, 69 nt
Filed under: Damalinia meyeri sika
Lineage: Eukaryota; Metazoa; Arthropoda; Insecta; Psocodea; Bovicoliidae
Description: tRNA-Val
Source: RNAcentral